This is a non-coding RNA of Cajanus cajan (pigeon pea), 154 nucleotides long. The record is from RefSeq and is a predicted model, not a curated record. Lineage: Eukaryota; Viridiplantae; Streptophyta; Magnoliopsida; Fabales; Fabaceae.
UAAAGAGGUUUCCAAGUGGUGGAGAAAAGAAGAGCAAGAAGUGUAAGAAAUGGACGAUAUCAUGGCAAAACAAAUGCAUGUCUUGAUUUUUUUCAUCAUUCUCGUUUUUGCUGAAGAGAUAUCAGUUCAGGCUGCAACAGAAGAAUGCAUUCCC